CAGGACAAAACUUAAUGAUGUUUUUUCUACCACAGGAUUACUGAGAUUUCGUGUGAAGAAAACUGUGGUUACAGGCUAUAUGUUGAUGAUGAAAUUACACUGUGUUGUUGAGAAAAUGUUGGAGAAAAUAUGAAUGUUACAGGGAAGAAGUAAAUACAGUGUGAUGAGACCAGUGUUAACUUUAUGACCUUUUACAGCACCUCUGGAAUCUGGAUGGCCGACACCUGACAACCAGGUUGAACCGUGUGUUUGUUUUUCUUUAAGAGUGCUUGUAAAGGAUUCAGCACAGACAGACAUGUGACAAUUGAACAGAUGUGCAGUGGUUACAGAAUAGUUACAUGGGGUUCAUUAUCUGACCACUAUUGGGCUCAUGGUGAGUGACAAACUUAAGGAAAGUCACUGAUUACAAUGUGGAAUGACGUUGAGAUGUUAAAUGAUUUGGAACAAAUUAUGGAAAAAAGCAGGAGCUUAAUGAGUUUAGAAUAAACCUGCAAUGAUACUUGUCUCUGUGAUGCUGAAUACUUUAUUACACUUAUGAGCUGCAGUUGGUUGCAAAUGUGAAGUUGUUUUAACUUUAAGACUUCGUCUUCUAGGAUACAGGCUGGAGCUGGGAGUUAAACAAGCUAAACAUUUAAUUGCUGACUAAUGUGUUUUUACACAGGAUUACAGGUUGAAGUGAAGCUGCUCCAAGGACAAACCCUGGAGAUUGUUUUAGGGAGACUGUGCAACAUUCUUGUACAUGUCUCAUUGGGGAGUUGACACAUGGCAGAAGCCAUGUGGCGAGAGGAGUGUCAUUUUUCUAAUGUGUAGAUGUCGUGAGGUGCCAUGACAAGAAGGAGUGGCUGAGGGGAUCGUCCACAAGAUGGAAGCUGAGGCCUGGAGAGAGUCUUCAGGAGGAUCAGAGAUCACCUUCAGCACAGCAGACAUCGCGCAGAGAGCUGUGCUACUGGGCUUCCAGGAGAUCGUCAUGAGGAGACUCUGCACAGCAAAAUCUUAAAUAAGAUGAAAGACUUUCGACAUUGACGUUGAGGAAGACAACUAAGGUGUACGACGUGCUCUGCCUUUAAAAUCUUCAGCAACGUUGGAUCAUGAGAACCUGAGGGAGCGUGCCAAGCUCCAAAAAGUGACAGCGCAGAGGAGGUCCAGCGAUGGACUUGUGGUUCUGUGAACAGCACAAAUGCCAGGACUUUCUGCAAAGUUUGGAUGCAUUCACCGGAGCGAACGGAUGACUGAAAAAAACAAAAACCACUGUCUGACAAGACUGCAGCUUUGCGUUUCUGCCACAGCUCUCAUUUACGUUUCAGCAUGGGAGACUUGACUGAAUUCCUGAAACAAAGAGAAGUCUCUGAGGAAAUUAUACAGACCUUGGAGAAUGAGAAGAUUGAUGCCAGUGUCAUAAGUCUAAUGACAGAUGAGGAGCUGAAGACUUAUUUGCCAUCAUAUGGUGAUCGUCUAGCAGUAUUUGGAUUUUGCAGACGGAGGGGCAGCAGCCGCAAGUCAGCGCUUUUUGAACGGCUGAAAUCCAAAGCGUCCAAAAGAAAAUUAUCUGAAGAGGAUGGCAGUAGCACACGGCAAGAAGAACAUUCCCAAACAACCCAUAAAAGAAAUGCUCUGAAGAGAAAUAGAAAAAUAGAAAUAGGAUGGAUGCAUUAUGAUGAAGACACUGAGGUUUUCAAGCAGGUUAGAGCUAGACGAGGAGGAGGAACAAGAAAAAUAGACAUUUGCAAGGAUGCCAAGAAAAGGGACAUAUUACAGGUUGCAACAGGCCUGUUCUUUCCAGAUGGAGGAAACAUUCAGGGGCCCUUAACAGAUUUUGACUGUGAUCUGAAGGAUUAUCAAGAGAUGAUAGUCGAUGAUGCAUUGACAGUAGGAGAACUUUAUCAUGUCACAAAACUAAAUAUCCGCAGGUUCUACCUCACCACAAAGAAAAAACAAAAUGACAGCCUUCAGAGUUCCAGCCCGAGUUUGCAUCCAUCU
Molecule: long non-coding RNA, 1977 nt
Organism: Oreochromis niloticus (Nile tilapia)
Lineage: Eukaryota; Metazoa; Chordata; Actinopteri; Cichliformes; Cichlidae
Exons: 4
Source: RefSeq, a predicted model, not a curated record